RNAcentral lists this ribosomal RNA (450 nucleotides) under uncultured bacterium. Its description in RNAcentral is "bacterial SSU rRNA". It matches the Rfam family "Bacterial small subunit ribosomal RNA", at positions 29 to 475 of the family's 1533-position model. The record is from RNAcentral.
AACGAACGCUGGCGGCGUGCUUAAUACAUGCAAGUCGAACGUGAUUCCCGAGCAAUCGGGAUGAAAGUGGCGAACGGGUGAGUAACACGUAAGUAAUCUGCCUCUAAGAUUGGGAUAACCCUGCCAACGCGGGGCUAAUACCGGAUGUGGUCCCGCCAACGCAUGUUGGCGGGAUUAAAGGAGCAAUCCGCUUAGAGAUGAACUUGCGGCCCAUUAGUUUGUUGGUGAGGUAACGGCCCACCAAGACUGAGAUGGGUAGCCGGCCUGAGAGGGUGGACGGCCACAUUGGAACUGAGACACGGUCCAAACUCCUACGGGAGGCAGCAGUGAGGAAUAUUGGUCAAUGGACGAGAGUCUGAACCAGCCAAGUAGCGUGCAGGAAGACGGCCCUAUGGGUUGUAAACUGCUUUUAUAAGGGAAUAAAGUGAGAGUCGUGACUCUUUUUGCAUG